AACGGUUUCUAUCAAACUUCGUGUGAAGCAGAGAGUUCCCGAUGGUGGUUAUUCCAACGGUCACCGGAUUAUCAACCGGCGCACACUUACUAUCGGUGCCGCGCACGAUAGCCACAGCUUCUAGAGCUUCGCCUUCUUCUCUUCCCUCGCUCUGUUACUUGAAGAAGAGCUACUACUCUCCGCAACGCCGGAGUAUUCUGCCGGCAAGGAAGCUUGUGAUACGAGCUGCAAGAACAGAGUCCAAAGGCAUGUCUCUUGGUUUCAGAGCUCCCAAUUUUGAGCUUACGGAGCCGCUUACUGAUAAAGUUUGGAACCUUGAUGAUUUUGAAGCAUAUCCUGCAUUGCUGGUUAUGUUCAUCUGCAACCAUUGUCCAUUUGUCAU
This 382-nucleotide unclassified non-coding RNA is filed under the name Hevea brasiliensis (rubber tree). The record is from RNAcentral. Lineage: Eukaryota; Viridiplantae; Streptophyta; Magnoliopsida; Malpighiales; Euphorbiaceae.